CACUGUAAUCCCAAAAGUUAUUUGCAUUCAAAUGGUUUAGCUAUAAUCACUGAUGGUAAUUAAUUUUCUCUGUAAAACUAAAAUCAUAUUACUGUGUCAGACAGAACUCAUUGGUUGAAGCUUUUUGCACUUAACCUAUAUUGUUUUGCAUGUGAUGCACUAAAAUGAAUACAUUUAACAUGGUUCUUUCUAUUUUAAGUUUAUUCUAAUAAAUAGUUUAAGUUCAAUUUUUAUAAGAGAAUAAGUUUUAAACUCAACAAUCAAAUAAUAAAAGUAAAUUUGAUGUUUACUGAUUAUGUUUAGUUGAAAGUACUUUCACUAUUUUUAAGUUUUUGUUGCCCCUCCCAUAUUUUUCCCGCUGGAACCGAAGAGACUUCUGGACUUGUUUGUCAGAAGAAAUGAAGACAAGUCGUUUUUGGUGGUUUUGCCAGGGCUUGGACAUGUUUGUUUCAGUCUUCAGUCGAUAGGGAGUACUUUUCCUCAAACCUUCACGCAAACUGGAAAGAAACAACAUAAACCAGGAAAAAAGGUUGGAACCAGGAAUACCUACUAUAAAGAAUGCUGCUGAUGGUGACCUUGAAAUCCCAAUAGGAAUCAUCUUCAAUGGUGAAAACGGAAGUCCAGAGCAAGAACUGAACCCCUCCCAACUGGGGAUCCUUCUAGAGGGCAAUGUGGUUAUGGAUUCCAUCUGCAGUCUUCCUUUGGCAAUGUGUCUCCUGUUCGGACUGACUUAUGCACUCCACUUGGAGUACCCAAAGUGCAUGAAGAAUACCUUCCUGUUUAUCCAGCAGAUUAUGCUGAAUCUGGGACGAAACGAUCCUCCUCCAAAACUCCAAAGGCUAAAAAAUGAGCUUUCAAUGUGAGAUACUGAGAUAUGUUCUUACCUUAGCUUUGAAGAGUUGAUGCAUACCAGUAACCCUAGUGCACUCUGAAGCAUAGACUGAGUUACUGGGGGGAUGAAGAAGUGCUCCUACAGUGUUAUUACACCUUGUAAUAUAGUACCCCUUCUUAUCGGCUUAGAAAAUCCACACAUUAAAUUUAGUUAAACUAAACUUGGAAGAGUGUCACUUUGAGGCUUUGCUCCAUUUGCAUGACUGAGGGCACGCACAAAGACAAAACUGGUACACAUCAACUCGUCAAAGCUAAGGUAAGAACAUAUCUUAUGUAAAAUCAGUGACCUAUUCCUUUAAUUUCAUUGUCUCGCUGGGGCCAUUCCUUAUUCCAUAGUUUUUAUUUUUCCAAGUUAAAAUAUUUGUGGAAAUAAGUUUUACUGUUACAACUUGUUACCCAGAGUGUCACACCAAAGUUCUUUACUUGUGAUACACAGUUUUAUCUGUUUAAAAGGAUUGUUUUAAAGAAAAUGUUUUAUAUGAAGUUCAAUUGUGCACUUGUUUCACUUACUGUGAAAAAAAAACUACCUCAGAGACCACAAAUAAGUUCUUGUCAAAAAGUGUCUUGGAAUAACUGAAAUAUUGAAAUAAUGUUUCUGAAAGAAAUGUUUUCUUAGAAGCGCCAUGUGUAAAAAUUGUAAUACUGUUCAAAGGAAAACAAAAGUCUUGUUUUGUUAUAAAUAAAGUAAAAAAAAAAAACA
Molecule: long non-coding RNA, 1591 nt
Organism: Brienomyrus brachyistius
Lineage: Eukaryota; Metazoa; Chordata; Actinopteri; Osteoglossiformes; Mormyridae
Exons: 3
Source: RefSeq, a predicted model, not a curated record